Molecule: long non-coding RNA, 808 nt
Filed under: Parus major (Great Tit)
Lineage: Eukaryota; Metazoa; Chordata; Aves; Passeriformes; Paridae
Description: lncRNA (ENSPMJG00000012147.1)
Source: RNAcentral
ACCAGAAAGAUUCUGUGUCUUGAGAUUUUUGCCUAAGCUAAGGGUAUUUCCUGAGACGUGGGAGGAGAAGCCUACUUAAAGUCAAAUAUAUUGAGUUUGAGCAGUAAACUUUUAUUUAUUCAGACUGAGUAAGACAUCACAAGUGGCAAAUGGUGGCUGAAUGACUUCCCUCUGACUCAGUUUCCCAUCUGCAAAAUGGAAAGGGUGCUAAAUUAUUGUCAAAGCAAUUGGAACAUGACUUACAAGAAGAAAAGAAGGGUAACACAUUCAGCUGUUGGAAUACAACACAGAACCAUUGCAACAUCUGAGCACUGUCACAACCUUGAAACAGCCAGAAAGCUCCGUGGUGCCUUCUGAACCGUCUCUUAGAAAUGAAUAUUUCUUGAGGUAAUGUUUCUCAGGGAAGGCUAAGAGUUUUAUUUUAGAACAAAGAGAAACUUUCUCAUGCUCUGAAUAAGAGCUUUUCUGGUGUGAGAUUUUACUUUUGAUUAAAAAAUGCAUUCAUGAGGAACUUUAAAGGCAGUACAUCAGCAUUUGCCACAUGGAUGAACUCAUGAGAAUCAUUUGCAAAUAUAUAUCAGGUAAUAUUUAAUGUGUGUCUUAAAAACUUCCUUGCUCUGCCUGUAACUUUUUCUCCUCACUUUCACCUGCUUAAAGCUUUCUUUUUUUCUUUUUUCUUUUUUUUUGCUGCUGGUGCAAGCUUCAGGGAUUUAUCGUGUUCCAAGCCUCAGCUGCAGACAGGUGACAACACAAGUAAGUAAGUACCAUUUUCAACUCAGCUCUGCUAGCAGCUUUAUGAAAGCUUAGU